CUUGAUCACACUUAAGCACAAGGUUAGUCCAAAGGUUUCAUCAAUUAUCAAAACCAAACUAGAGAUCUUCAUCAUCCUCUUCUUCGAUGAAAAACUGGGUAUCUUCUUCUAAAUCUAAUGGAUCAUCAAAAGAGACAUCCUUAAUUUCCUCUAUUAACUUUGUCUUAGGGGAAGGAUCUGUUGUUGUAUUUAAAGCAUGAGCAUAGGGUAUAGAAAACGUGAGAUUUUUCCCAAGACUAACAUCUAAUUUCCCUGGUUCCCCUUAAAAGAUAAACUUUCCUAUAGGUUGUCCUAUUAAAACAUUAAACUCCCUGAUAUCAAAAACAUAAAAACUCAAUUGGACUUGUAUUCCAUUUAUGAUAAUAGGUAAAGCAUGUAGAAUUCCAAAACUUGGAACAAUAUGUCCAAAAAGGAUAAAGACAUAUCUUGAACAUAAUCUUGCAUAAAAAGAGCAUACAUAAUAUUGACUCCUAUUAUAGGGUUAUACAGAGUAUCAAAAGGUCUUCUAUUAAAUUGACAUUUAAUGGAAAUAGAAGGUGUAUCUAAUCCAAUUAUAUUAGGUGAAAGUUCUGACUCUUCUAUCCAUUAAAACUCAUGACAGAAAUCAACUCUUUCAUAAUUUCUUUUAAGAGAUUUCUAUUGAUAAGGACUUCUCAUAAGGUUUUCUUACUACUUGAUAUUUUAAAGUAUUUCCAAAAUCAGCAAAAAUAACAUCUUCAAUAUCAAGCAUAAAAAUCAAAAAGUGGAGUUUCCUCUUUUUCUUCUAUGGGUAGUUCAAGGUUGAGAUGGUUCAAGCAAACGCUCAAUUGUUUCAGGUUCUUCUAACAUCUUUUCUUUUUCUUCAGGAGACAAUCUAAAAUUUCAUAAGAAUGGUUCUAGCUUGUCGAGCAGUGGUAUGCAUGAACGAACCUCCUGAGACCAAAUUAAGAUAUUGCAUAGUGUCAUUAUUAAGGCCCAUAAAAAAGUACUGAAGAAUCAUAGGUUCCGGCAAAGCAAGAUUGGGAAUCAUAGGUUCCGGCAAAGCAAGAUUGGGACCAGAGUUUAAGAUCAUAUCAAGACGUUCCCAAGCCUUACCUAAAGCUUCAUCUUCUAAUUGUUUAAAACUUAGAAGUUUGACAACCCUACGAAUUGGAAAAUAUUGUAAACAAAAACUAGAGCGCAGAGAUUCUCAAUCCCCUUGACUAUCCCCUAUAUGAUGAUCGUACCAACGUUUAGCUUUACCUAACAAAGAGAAAGGAAAAGGCUUCCAUUUUAAAGUUUCAUCGGACAUGCCUUUGAUGUAUAAGCAUGUACACCUCUGUUCAAACUCAAGCAAACGGGAAUAGGGGUUUUCAUUUUCAUCACCAGAAAAAGUGUGUUCCUAAACUAAUUUAAUUAACCCCGGACGUAACUCAUAACCAGAAGAUAAAAUAGGUUUAGUAGAUUCAGCUGGUUUAUGAUAUGAGCCCGAUGGUGCUCCAUAUUGAUAUAAAAGUUUUGAUUCCAUAAUAGAAGUAAAGUAAAAAUAGAAAGUAUAGACAAAAAAGUAAAAACUAUAAAGUAAAGCAAUCAAAAAGAUAAAUAAAAAACAAUCAAAAAGAUAAAAGAUAAAAGAUAAAAGUAUGAUACAAGAUUAAAGUAAUACUCUAAGUUAAUAUCCAGCAAAACUACCGUUCCCCAGCAAUGGCGCCAGAAAUGCUUGUUCGUAUAAAUUAAAUACACACAAUAAAGAUAGAUUAUCCGCAAGCGCACAGAUAGAAAAAAAUUGUUGUAUCACUUCACCAAAAGAUAAACUUCCAGUUUUAAAUAUCGAACCCAAAGGAACGGUAGGUGAAUAUAACUAGGUUUACUUAAUCCUGCUUUCACAACCAAGGGACUUAAGAAAAUAGCUAGAUGAAGGAAAUUCCUUUUAUUACCAAAAUAUAUUUCAUUAUUAAUCUAUUGAUACUUAUUUUGUAUCAUAAUUGUCAGCAUUUUUUAUAUAAAUUUGGUCAAAGUUGUAAUCGUUUGAGUUAUCAGGAAUCGAGAAUUGCAUGUUUUUUUUGGAACGGAGGAAGUAUAUUAUUACUCUGACAAAACCUUUGAAUUUCACGGGAUGUGACUCCACUAGUAAAAAGAUCUGCCCGCUCCUCCAUCCUUUGGUUUGCUGUAUUGCAAAAACGAGUGCAUAAAAUAAAUAAGGAGAGGACUAGCGGGUGCAUGUGCACUAUAAGAAUGUCUAGAAUGCACACCCAAAUAUGGAAAGUUCUAGAUGCCCUUCCCUGCAAUGGAAAUUGCUGUCCUCCUCACGAGCGCACGCGCUUGGCACUCUGCCAUCCCUGCCUAGCUGGACUCCCACCGUUUCCCCCCGCGCCUGGCACGUUGAGCCUAUGCCCCAGGCCAGACCUCCCCCGGCC
Molecule: long non-coding RNA, 2375 nt
Filed under: Brachypodium distachyon (stiff brome)
Lineage: Eukaryota; Viridiplantae; Streptophyta; Magnoliopsida; Poales; Poaceae
Description: long non-coding RNA (BDIS_LNC005317)
Source: RNAcentral